AAAGUAAAAGUAAUCGUUGCUGAAACUGUUCACAUUUAAAGAAUCACCGAAACCGAAAUGUAAUUAAUUACAAUAACAUAUAAAGAGGUUCGAGAGGUUUUUUAACUGCGAGUUUUUUAAUUCGUGAAAUGAAUCUAUUGACUAUAAAUGAUAUGGUGUCGUUUUUUUUUAUCUGUCUCAAGAAUAAAAAAGUGGGCUGCCUAAGAUCGUGAUGCGCGUUCGAGAGCUCGUCAUCUUUGUCUCCGUUAAAAAACAGGGAAAAAACAGGGAAGUAAAACGCGAUACAUCGCGGAAGGAUAUUUGCGACAUGAUCAAUCGUUACAUCACGCCGGUGCAACGUGAACCGAUGUGUAUCGACAUGCCAUCCGUCACGUCGCUACAUCGCGUGCACGCCGGAUUUGCCGGACAUCGAUACUUGACGCUCGCAUUUAUCCGCUCUCACGCCAGAAGAUCACCGGUGCAACCCGAGACAUCCCAUGUUUAACUAUACCAUGCGAGCUGUCCACCUCGAUUAUCCUCGCGUGUCUCUACCCUCGCGAGGAUAUGCACGUGUCUCUCCUCGGGAUGACAGCCCCGCGCAUUGAGAGCCGUGUAAUCGAAUUUAGCGCGAGAUUGCAAACGAGUGUCAAAUGGAAGCUGUUCUUUCUCAUCGUGAAGUUAACGUUU
Long non-coding RNA from Pogonomyrmex barbatus (red harvester ant), 666 nucleotides. NCBI's taxonomy places the organism in Eukaryota, Metazoa, Arthropoda, Insecta, Hymenoptera, Formicidae. The record is from RefSeq and is a predicted model, not a curated record.